Molecule: long non-coding RNA, 2059 nt
Filed under: Marmota monax (woodchuck)
Lineage: Eukaryota; Metazoa; Chordata; Mammalia; Rodentia; Sciuridae
Source: RNAcentral
AUUUGUUCUAAUGUCACUGGAGCAAAAAUCAUAAAACAUUUUGCUUUCCUUUACAACCUCCUAAUACAAAAAUAAAACAAAAAACUAUUUGUAGGGAAAAAAACAGUUUUGUGUGUGAGAUGAAACAAUAUAAAUUCAAAACUUACAGAUAAGGGUAAGCUGUAUCAGUCAUCUCUUUAAAAAGUUCAUGUGAACAUCCUGUCAUAUCCAACAGGGUACCUCCUUUUGAAAUGUCAUCUGUGUGGAUUUCCAAGCAGACCAUAGGACUGUGCACUGUCUUAGAAGGUCCUCAGAGGGCUCUGUCAUUCAGAGUUAAAAACCCCAGAGUCCUUUCUUUCAAAUGGAAGAGGGACAGAAGAAACUGUUCAAACUCUGUCUUCUUUCCUUGUGGCUUGUGGUCUCCUCCUCCCCCUGUCUCCUUGGCCACCAACCCUGCCUCAGAAGCCUCUUCUGCUUCUACCAUGACCCCCAAGGCCACCUUUCCCUCUAGGCAUGGCCCAGUCCAAGGUAACUGUGUCCAUCAAUUUCCCAUCUUCUACAGCCUCGUUGGCGGCUUUGGCAUCCUCUUCACUGUUGAAGUCUACAAAACCAAACUCUUUGGAGGACCCAGUUUCCUGGUCAUUGACUAUCCUUGCAGGAAUAGAGCAGUCAAAUGAUUCCUUUAAGGCUUCUUGGGUGGUAUCCUCAGGCCAACCUUUGACAGCAUUUUCAAUGUCUGGCUUCCUGCAUUAGGCCAUUCCCUGGUCCUUGCAACUCCAGCCUGAUUACAGUACCCUCAAUUUCCCUUUUAUUACAAGAAUUUAAAGCUUCUGUUGCAUCUUCAAAUGAAGCAAACUCUACAAAUGCAUACACUUUAGAUUUGCCGUUUUGGUUCUGGGGUACUUUGAUAAAAGUUGCCUUCUCAAACACUUCCUGAAGAGUUUCUUCUGUUGCAGAGUAAAAGAGGUUGCUUAAAACCAGAGUUUUGAUCACCACUCCAGGUGGUGUUCUUUCCAUCUCUGUAGUCUUAAUUUUGAUCUUUCUCUUCCAGUUUAGUAGAGGGAAGCAAAUUGCCUGUCCAUCGCUGUCCCCUGCUUGGCUUUCAAGGUUUUUUCUGCAUUACCUUCUGUUAAAUUCCAUGUGAGCAGUCCCUCUCCUUUCCCCAUCCUUGCUGACUGAUCCUAUCCUCAUGGCCUCUUGAAACACUUCUUUUGAUUCAAUCUGAGUGACUUUGUAAGGGAGAUUUUUGGUCAAAAGUGUUCUUGCAUCUUGAUCUUUCUCACUGUCUUUUCCUUUUGGUUUCUCUGGUUUAAUUUUAAGCAAAUUGAUUAUUAUAAGAAAUCAUCAAAUUUAUAAACUUAGAAAAUCAAUCAAAUAAAAAUAAUUUGGAAUCGUUCAAUUAUUUUUAUUUUAUUUUAUUUAUGUAUUUGUGUGUGUGUGUGUGUGGGGGUGCUGAGGAUUGAACCCAGGACCUUGUGCAUGGAAGGCAAGCACUCUACCAACUGAGCUAUAUCCUCAGUCCUCCAUUGUUUUUAUUUUAUAGCAAAGACAUAAUGAGUGACUCAUGGUAAUAGCAUGACAGUUUUUCUUAGGUACAAUGCCCCAAAAGGUACACUGCCAUUGGGACUUGUUCCUUGGAGCAUUUAAAUACAUCCAUAUUUCUUUCUUUAAUUCCUUUCUUCCUUCCUUUAUUUAUUUAUUUAGCAGUACUAGGGAUUGAACCCAGGGACACUCUUACCAGUGAGCCAUAUUCCAGCCAUUUUUUAGUUUUUAUUCUGAGUCAGAGUCUUGCUAAAUUUUUGAGGCUGGCCUCAAAUUUGUGAUACUCCUGCCUCAGCCUCCUGAAUCACAGGGAUUAUAGGGGUGUGCCACUGUGCCCAGCUAAAUAUUUUAAACAACAUUGUUGUUCAUUAUCAGGGAAAAAUAAAUUUAGUUUUUGUGGUGCUGGGGAUUGAACCCAGGGCCUUGUGCAUGCAAGGCAAGCACCCUAUCAACCGACCCAGGGAAAAACAUUUUAAGAGUGGCAUAAAGGUUUGUAAUGUGGACUCUGGAACCAGACUGCCUGGGUAUGAAUUCUAAC